UGAGUAACCUUCCCUUGACUCUGGGAUAAGCCUGGGAAACCGGGUCUAAUACCGGAUGCGACCUCCCGCCGCAUGGUGGGGGGUGGAAAGAUUUAUCGGUCUUGGAUGGACUCGCGGCCUAUCAGCUGGUUGGUGGGGUAAUGGCCUACCAAGGCGACGACGGGUAGCCGGCCUGAGAGGGUGACCGGCCACACUGGGACUGAGACACGGUCCAGACUCCUACGGGAGGCAG
This 232-nucleotide ribosomal RNA is filed under the name uncultured bacterium. RNAcentral describes it as "partial 16S ribosomal RNA". It matches the Rfam family "Bacterial small subunit ribosomal RNA", at positions 118 to 351 of the family's 1533-position model. The record is from RNAcentral.